ACGGGUGAGUAACACGUGGGCAACCUGCCCUUGAGACUGGGAUAACUUCGGGAAACCGGAGCUAAUACCGGAUAAUAUAAGGAACCUCCUGGUUCCUUAUUGAAAGAUGGUUUCGGCUAUCACUUAAGGAUGGGCCCGCGGCGCAUUAGCUAGUUGGUGAGGUAACGGCUCACCAAGGCGACGAUGCGUAGCCGACCUGAGAGGGUGAUCGGCCACACUGGGACUGAGACACGGCCCAGACUCCUACGGGAGGCAGCAGUAGGGAAUUUUCCACAAUGGACGAAAGUCUGAUGGAGCAACGCCGCGUGAGUGAUGAAGGCCUUCGGGUCGUAAAGCUCUGUUGUUAGGGAAGAACAAGUGCGAGAGUAACUGCUCGCACCUUGACGGUACCUAACCAGAAAGCCACGGCUAACUACGUGCCAGCAGCCGCGGUAAUACGUAGGUGGCAAGCGUUAUCCGGAAUUAUUGGGCGUAAAGCGCGCGCAGGUGGUUUCUUAAGUCUGAUGUGAAAGCCCACGGCUCAACCGUGGAGGGUCAUUGGGAAACUGGGGA
This 552-nucleotide ribosomal RNA is filed under the name uncultured bacterium. RNAcentral describes it as "bacterial SSU rRNA". It matches the Rfam family "Bacterial small subunit ribosomal RNA", at positions 102 to 639 of the family's 1533-position model. The record is from RNAcentral.